Molecule: unclassified non-coding RNA, 145 nt
Filed under: soil metagenome
Description: partial internal transcribed spacer 1
Source: RNAcentral
UAAUAAGUGUUUAUGGCACUUUUUUAAAUCCAUAUCCACCUUGUGUGCAAUGUCAGUCGAUCUUCUUCAUGGAGAUCGACCAAACAUCAACCUUUAUCUUUUAACUCUUUGUCUGAAAAAUAUUAUGAAUAAACAAUUCAAAAUA